Non-coding RNA from Paramuricea clavata, 97 nucleotides. Lineage: Eukaryota; Metazoa; Cnidaria; Anthozoa; Malacalcyonacea; Plexauridae. The record is from the annotation of a GenBank genome assembly.
AGGCCACUGCACCUCUAUAGCUAAAUGCCUUUUUCAGCUAAUUUGUUUUAGGCUUUUUACCUGGAAAGGGCAUUUAGCUACAGAGGUGCAGUGGCCU